Molecule: ribosomal RNA, 620 nt
Filed under: Tulasnella sp. AUG 031
Lineage: Eukaryota; Fungi; Basidiomycota; Agaricomycetes; Cantharellales; Tulasnellaceae
Description: eukaryotic LSU rRNA
Rfam family: 5.8S ribosomal RNA (bases 217-370)
Source: RNAcentral
CGUAACAAGGUUUCCGUAGGUGAACUGCGGAAGGAUCAUUAAAGAGUAACUUGGGAAGAUGUGCUGGCACUGCAGGUGCACUCUUCUCAACUAUUCAUCCAAACCCCUGUGCACCUUUUUAAUGAUACGAAUAGUCGAAAGACUUUCGUGUCUAUUAUACCAUAACCCUAUGAUUAUACUAUUAUUGACGAAUGUAACAAGUUGUAAAUUCAAUACAACCAUCAGCAACGGAUCUCUUGGCAUCCCACUCGAUGAAGAACGUAGCGAAUUGCGAUAAGUAAUGUGACUUGCAGAACACAGUGAAUCAUCGAAUCUUUGAACGCACCUUGCACCCUCUAGUAUUCUGGAGGGUAUGCCCGGUUGAGUGUCAUGAAAUCUUCAAAUCAUUGAUUUUGUUAUGAAGUCAGUGAUCUUGGACUUGGGUGUUGUUGGAUGCUAGCAUUCAACUCGUCCGAAAUAUAUUAGCUGGACUUUACUUCUUAUAAUUCUACCUUUGAUGUGAUAAGUAUUGAUCGUCACUGGUAGUUAAGUUGUAGUCUGCUUCUAAUCGUCUGCGGACAAUAUACUUGACAAUUACACCUCAACUCGGGUAGGACUACGCCCUGAACUUAAGCAUAUCA